UUGGGAUGCUCGGAGUGUGGGGGUGCCGGAAGCCUCGGAGGUGUGUGCCGGGGGGAUACCUCGUGAUGCUAGUUGGGAUACGAGAUGCCCUAAGUGUGUGUGCCGGAUGCCCGGAGGUGUGUGCCGGAGGUUCCUCAUGAUGCCAAGUUGGAUACGAGCGAUAAAUUGUGGGAUGAAAACACUGGUCCCUGGAAAGAUAAAAAUUGAGACUGUAUCAUAUGGCAUGGAUAUAUGCAUGAAUGCUUGAUGAUAAGUGCAUGGUGGUAUAUGCACAUAUGGCAUGGAUAUAUGCAUGAAUGCUUGAUGAUAAAUGCAUGGUGAUAUAUGCACAUAUGGCAUGGUGAUAUAUGUAUGGCUAUAAGGUAAGGUAUGCUUGAAUGCAUGAAUGAUAUGUGUUUUAUUCUUGAUUGUUCUGUUUGACGC
This 423-nucleotide long non-coding RNA is filed under the name Eucalyptus grandis. Its description in RNAcentral is "long non-coding RNA (EGRA_LNC002045)". Lineage: Eukaryota; Viridiplantae; Streptophyta; Magnoliopsida; Myrtales; Myrtaceae. The record is from RNAcentral.